UACAGAGGUCUCAAGCGUUGUUCGGAUUCAUUGGGCGUAAAGGGUGCGUAGGCGGCGCGGUAAGUCGGGUGUGAAAUCUCGGAGCUUAACUCCGAAACUGCAUUCGAUACUGUCGUGCUUGAGGACUGGAGAGGAGACUGGAAUUUACGGUGUAGCGGUGAAAUGCGCAGAUAUCAGGAAGAACACCCGUGGCGAAAGCGGCUCUCUGGAACGGUACUGACGCUGAGACGCGAAAGCGUGGGGAGCGAACAGG
Molecule: ribosomal RNA, 253 nt
Filed under: uncultured bacterium
Lineage: Bacteria
Description: partial 16S ribosomal RNA
Rfam family: Bacterial small subunit ribosomal RNA
Source: RNAcentral